RNAcentral lists this ribosomal RNA (999 nucleotides) under Staphylococcus pseudintermedius. RNAcentral describes it as "bacterial SSU rRNA". It matches the Rfam family "Bacterial small subunit ribosomal RNA", at positions 141 to 1124 of the family's 1533-position model. The record is from RNAcentral. Lineage: Bacteria; Bacillati; Bacillota; Bacilli; Caryophanales; Staphylococcaceae.
GAAUAACUCCGGGAAACCGGGGCUAAUGCCGGAUAACAUGUUGAACCGCAUGGUUCUACAGUGAAAGACGGUCUUGCUGUCACUUAUAGAUGGACCCGCGCCGUAUUAGCUAGUUGGUGGGGUAACGGCCUACCAAGGCGACGAUACGUAGCCGACCUGAGAGGGUGAUCGGCCACACUGGAACUGAGACACGGUCCAGACUCCUACGGGAGGCAGCAGUAGGGAAUCUUCCGCAAUGGGCGAAAGCCUGACGGAGCAACGCCGCGUGAGUGAUGAAGGUCUUCGGAUCGUAAAGCUCUGUUGUUAGGGAAGAACAAAUGUGUAAGUAACUGUGCACAUCUUGACGGUACCUAACCAGAAAGCCACGGCUAACUACGUGCCAGCAGCCGCGGUAAUACGUAGGUGGCAAGCGUUAUCCGGAAUUAUUGGGCGUAAAGCGCGCGUAGGCGGUUUUUUAAGUCUGAUGUGAAAGCCCACGGCUCAACCGUGGAGGGUCAUUGGAAACUGGAAAACUUGAGUGCAGAAGAGGAAAGUGGAAUUCCAUGUGUAGCGGUGAAAUGCGCAGAGAUAUGGAGGAACACCAGUGGCGAAGGCGGCUUUCUGGUCUGCAACUGACGCUGAUGUGCGAAAGCGUGGGGAUCAAACAGGAUUAGAUACCCUGGUAGUCCACGCCGUAAACGAUGAGUGCUAAGUGUUAGGGGGUUUCCGCCCCUUAGUGCUGCAGCUAACGCAUUAAGCACUCCGCCUGGGGAGUACGGUCGCAAGACUGAAACUCAAAGGAAUUGACGGGGACCCGCACAAGCGGUGGAGCAUGUGGUUUAAUUCGAAGCAACGCGAAGAACCUUACCAAAUCUUGACAUCCUUUGACCGCUCUAGAGAUAGAGUUUUCCUCUUCGGAGGACAAAGUGACAGGUGGUGCAUGGUUGUCGUCAGCUCGUGUCGUGAGAUGUUGGGUUAAGUCCCGCAACGAGCGCAACCCUUGAACUUAGUUGCCAUCAU